Molecule: long non-coding RNA, 308 nt
Organism: Telopea speciosissima
Lineage: Eukaryota; Viridiplantae; Streptophyta; Magnoliopsida; Proteales; Proteaceae
Exons: 3
Source: RefSeq, a predicted model, not a curated record
UGAGUCUACUCGCUGGCAGGAUGGGAUCUUCUUCUCUCUCUGCGUCACUUAUGCCCUCGUCUCUGCCGUUUCUAUGAUUCAAUUAAUUAGGAUUCAACUGCGAGUGCCGGAUUAUGGUUGGACUACACAGAAGCUUUUUCAUGUUAUGAACUUCAUUGUAAACGGAGUGCGUGCACUUGUUUUUGGAUUUUACAAGCAAAAAGUGUUUGUUUUAUCUCCAAAGGUCAUCAUCACUUCAGUGUUGUUGGUUCUUCCCGGUCUUUUGAUCUUCUCAACAUACGCCUUACUUGUCCUAUAUUGGGCAGAGA